RNAcentral lists this small nucleolar RNA (144 nucleotides) under Sorex araneus (European shrew). RNAcentral's name for it is "Small nucleolar RNA SNORA70 (ENSSARG00000019071.1)". It matches the Rfam family "Small nucleolar RNA SNORA70". From Rfam's summary of the family: snoRNA U70 seems to be exclusive to mammals and is a member of the H/ACA class of snoRNA which contain H (ANANNA) and ACA box motifs. H/ACA box snoRNAs are involved in the conversion of uridines to pseudouridines (5-ribosyluracil) a constituent of structural RNAs (transfer, ribosomal, small nuclear, and small nucleolar). Lineage: Eukaryota; Metazoa; Chordata; Mammalia; Eulipotyphla; Soricidae. The record is from RNAcentral.
CUGUAGCCAAUUAAGCCAACUGGACUCCUUCCAUGUGGGUCCCAGGGUGCAGUUGGCUACAAUCGAGCCUCCUCCAUGGUACUGUCUGCACACAGCCUAGUGCUUGUAUUGUACUGACUGCCUUAAGGGAUCUUGAAAACAGCC